GGCUGCCCGGACCGGGACGGAAACUCCGAGGCAACUCCUCACUAGUCGGAGGUCCUGCGUGUGCGACCCAUUUCCGCACAUGCGCGGUCCGUGUCGCAGUGCCCACUGGACGCUUGGGUAGCUGCGCUGCGGUCCGCCAGCGUCUGGUAGUAAGGGCAGAUGGUGGAGACAGGUGGAUUCUAGGAGCGUUAGGAAGAAACCCGACGUCUGAGCUGCUGUAUGACCUGGGAGGCACCUGUGUACUUGGAAGAUAAGCCCUUUCUUGCCGGGUGAAUAUGGAAACCCAAGCAGCUAAUGACAGAAGAAUUCUAUAAAGAAUUCUGCGAAGAGGCAGCCCCCACGGGCAAAGUUCAACGCCAGCUUCCCAACUGCACACCUGUGGUACCUCCCCUGAGCCCAGGUCCCUCUUUGAAGCAAUGAGACAUAAGGCAACAGCUAGAGGCAACGUGAUCAUUCGUUUUCAGACUCUCUCAGGACGUGCCACAGGUAUAGAUCCCCCAGGUGGAGGAGGCCACAUGAUAAGGAAUGCCAGUGGCCUCUAGAAACGAAAGUAACCCCUGUCUGAGGCCAGCAAGGAAACAGGGACCUCAGACCUACAGCCACAAGGAACUGGAUUCUGUGGAAAGCUGAAUGGGUUUGGAAGUGAUUCUUCCCCAGAAACUUCAGCUAAGAGCCCAGCCAUGCUGACAACUUUGACUGCAGUCUGGUGAGUCCCUGAGCAGGCAAGCCCACCCAGACUCUUGACCUCCAUCACUAGGAGAGAGUAAACAGAUGUUGG
Molecule: non-coding RNA, 778 nt
Organism: Saimiri boliviensis boliviensis (Bolivian squirrel monkey)
Lineage: Eukaryota; Metazoa; Chordata; Mammalia; Primates; Cebidae
Source: RefSeq, a predicted model, not a curated record